This 497-nucleotide ribosomal RNA is filed under the name uncultured bacterium. RNAcentral's name for it is "partial 16S ribosomal RNA". It matches the Rfam family "Bacterial small subunit ribosomal RNA", at positions 28 to 507 of the family's 1533-position model. The record is from RNAcentral.
GAUGAACGCUGGCGGCGUGCCUAAUACAUGCAAGUCGAGCGAACAGACGAGGAGCUUGCUCCUCUGACGUUAGCGGCGGACGGGUGAGUAACACGUGGAUAACCUACCUAUAAGACUGGGAUAACUUCGGGAAACCGGAGCUAAUACCGGAUAAUAUAUUGAACCGCAUGGUUCAAUAGUGAAAGACGGUUUUGCUGUCACUUAUAGAUGGAUCCGCGCCGCAUUAGCUAGUUGGUAAGGUAACGGCUUACCAAGGCAACGAUGCGUAGCCGACCUGAGAGGGUGAUCCGCCACACUUGAACUGGGACACGGUCCAGACUCCUACGGGAAGCAGCAGUUGGGAAACUUCCGCAAUGGGCGGAAGCCUGACCGAGCCACCCCGCGGUGGGGAAGAAGGGUUUUGGGUUGGAAAACCUUUGUUUUUGGGAAGAAAAAAAGGUGUAGUAACUAUGCACGUCUUGACGGUACCUAAUCAGAAAGCCACGGCUAACUACGUG